RNAcentral lists this ribosomal RNA (723 nucleotides) under uncultured Enterobacteriaceae bacterium. RNAcentral describes it as "bacterial SSU rRNA". It matches the Rfam family "Bacterial small subunit ribosomal RNA", at positions 54 to 776 of the family's 1533-position model. The record is from RNAcentral. Lineage: Bacteria; Pseudomonadati; Pseudomonadota; Gammaproteobacteria; Enterobacterales; Enterobacteriaceae.
CAUGCAAGUCGAGCGGCAGCGAAAGUAGCUGCUACUUUGCCGCGAGCGCGGACGGUGAGUAAUGUCUGGAACUGCCUGAUGAGGGGGAUAACUACUGGAACGGUAGCUAAUACCGCAUGACUCGCAAGAGCAAAGUGGGGGGACCUUCGGUCCUCACGCAUCGGAUGUGCCCAGAUGGGAUUAGCUAGUAGGUGGGGUAAUGGCUCACCUAGGCGACGAUCCCUAGCUGGUCUGAGAGGAUGACCAGCCACACUGGAACUGAGACACGGUCCAGACUCCUACGGGAGGCAGCAGUGGGGAAUAUUGCACAAUGGGCGCAAGCCUGAUGCAGCCAUGCCGCGUGUGUGAAAGAAGGGCUUCGGGUUGUAAAGCACUUUCAGCGAGGAGGAAGGGGUUGAGUUUAAUACGCUCAAUCAUUGACGUUACUCGCAGAAGAAGCACCGGCUAACUCCGUGCCAGCAGCCGCGGUAAUACGGAGGGUGCAAGCGUUAAUCGGAAUUACUGGGCGUAAAGCGCACGCAGGCGGUUUGUUAAGUCAGAUGUGAAAUCCCCGAGCUUAACGUGGGAACUGCAUUUGAAACUGGCAAGCUAGAGUCUUGUAGAGGGGGGUAGAAUUCCAGGUGUAGCGGUGAAAUGCGUAGAGAUCUGGAGGAAUACCGGUGGCGAAGGCGGCCCCUGGACAAAGACUGACGCUCAGGUGCGAGAGCGUGGGGAGCAAACAGG